RNAcentral lists this ribosomal RNA (1372 nucleotides) under uncultured bacterium. Its description in RNAcentral is "bacterial SSU rRNA". It matches the Rfam family "Bacterial small subunit ribosomal RNA", at positions 28 to 1381 of the family's 1533-position model. The record is from RNAcentral.
GAUGAACGCUAGCGGCGUGCCUAAUACAUGCAAGUCGAGCGAACGGACGAGAAGCUUGCUUCUCUGAUGUUAGCGGCGGACGGGUGAGUAACACGUGGAUAACCUACCUAUAAGACUGGGAUAACUUCGGGAAACCGGAGCUAAUACCGGAUAAUAUUUUGAACCGCAUGGUUCAAAAGUGAAAGACGGUCUUGCUGUCACUUAUAGAUGGAUCCGCGCUGCAUUAGCUAGUUGGUAAGGUAACGGCUUACCAAGGCAACGAUGCAUAGCCGACCUGAGAGGGUGAUCGGCCACACUGGAACUGAGACACGGUCCAGACUCCUACGGGAGGCAGCAGUAGGGAAUCUUCCGCAAUGGGCGAAAGCCUGACGGAGCAACGCCGCGUGAGUGAUGAAGGUCUUCGGAUCGUAAAACUCUGUUAUUAGGGAAGAACAUAUGUGUAAGUAACUGUGCACAUCUUGACGGUACCUAAUCAGAAAGCCACGGCUAACUACGUGCCAGCAGCCGCGGUAAUACGUAGGUGGCAAGCGUUAUCCGGAAUUAUUGGGCGUAAAGCGCGCGUAGGCGGUUUUUUAAGUCUGAUGUGAAAGCCCACGGCUCAACCGUGGAGGGUCAUUGGAAACUGGAAAACUUGAGUGCAGAAGAGGAAAGUGGAAUUCCAUGUGUAGCGGUGAAAUGCGCAGAGAUAUGGAGGAACACCAGUGGCGAAGGCGACUUUCUGGUCUGUAACUGACGCUGAUGUGCGAAAGCGUGGGGAUCAAACAGGAUUAGAUACCCUGGUAGUCCACGCCGUAAACGAUGAGUGCUAAGUGUUAGGGGGUUUCCGCCCCUUAGUGCUGCAGCUAACGCAUUAAGCACUCCGCCUGGGGAGUACGACCGCAAGGUUGAAACUCAAAGGAAUUGACGGGGACCCGCACAAGCGGUGGAGCAUGUGGUUUAAUUCGAAGCAACGCGAAGAACCUUACCAAAUCUUGACAUCCUUUGACAACUCUAGAGAUAGAGCCUUCCCCUUCGGGGGACAAAGUGACAGGUGGUGCAUGGUUGUCGUCAGCUCGUGUCGUGAGAUGUUGGGUUAAGUCCCGCAACGAGCGCAACCCUUAAGCUUAGUUGCCAUCAUUAAGUUGGGCACUCUAAGAUGACUGCCGGUGACAAACCGGAGGAAGGUGGGGAUGACGUCAAAUCAUCAUGCCCCUUAUGAUUUGGGCUACACACGUGCUACAAUGGACAAUACAAAGGGCAGCGAAACCGCGAGGUCAAGCAAAUCCCAUAAAGUUGUUCUCAGUUCGGAUUGUAGUCUGCAACUCGACUACAUGAAGCUGGAAUCGCUAGUAAUCGUAGAUCAGCAUGCUACGGUGAAUACGUUCCCGGGUCU